RNAcentral lists this ribosomal RNA (493 nucleotides) under uncultured bacterium. RNAcentral describes it as "partial 16S ribosomal RNA". It matches the Rfam family "Bacterial small subunit ribosomal RNA", at positions 28 to 506 of the family's 1533-position model. The record is from RNAcentral.
GACGAACGCUGGCGGCGUGCUUAACACAUGCAAGUCGAACGGAAAGGCCUGCUUUCCCUUGUGGAUUGCGGGUACUCGAGUGGCGAACGGGUGAGUAACACGUGAGUGAUCUGCCCCCAACUUGGGUAUAAGCCUGGGAAACUGGGUCUAAUUCCCGAUAGGACUGCAGGGUGGUGCCUGUGGUGGAAAACGAUUUUCUAGUGGUUGGGGAUGAGCUCGCGGCCUAUCAGCUUGUUGGUGGGGUAAUGGCCUACCAAGGCGGCGACGGGUAGCCGGCCUGGGAGGGUGGACGGACACAUUGGGACUGAGAGACGGCCCAGACUCCUACGGGAGGCAGCAGUGGGGAAUAUUGCACAAUGGGCGGAAGCCUGAUGCAGCGACGCCGCGUGGGGGAUGACGGCCUUCGGGUUGUAAACUCCUUUCGACCGCGAGGAAGCCACCUGGUUGGAAGGGUGGUGACGGUAGUGGUAGAAGAAGCACCGGCUAACUACGG